UGAUAGUAAGCGUUAACGAUAGGAGCGAUAUCCUUUUUUUCUUUUUCUGAAAAAAAGAUUUAGUGGAUAGCGUGUUAAAAC
RNAcentral lists this small RNA (81 nucleotides) under Pedobacter psychrophilus. Its description in RNAcentral is "Pedobacter sp. CCM 8644 Flavo-1 RNA". It matches the Rfam family "Flavo-1 RNA". Lineage: Bacteria; Pseudomonadati; Bacteroidota; Sphingobacteriia; Sphingobacteriales; Sphingobacteriaceae. The record is from Rfam by way of RNAcentral.